AUUUUAUUGAGUAUUUUUGCAUCGAUGUUCAUAAGGGAAAUUGGUCUGACAUUCUCUCUUUGUUGGGUCUUUGUGUGGUUUAGGUAUCAGAGUA
This 94-nucleotide microRNA precursor is filed under the name Trypanosoma congolense IL3000. The record is from RNAcentral. Lineage: Eukaryota; Euglenozoa; Kinetoplastea; Trypanosomatida; Trypanosomatidae.